RNAcentral lists this ribosomal RNA (993 nucleotides) under Triticum aestivum (bread wheat). RNAcentral's name for it is "partial small subunit ribosomal RNA". Lineage: Eukaryota; Viridiplantae; Streptophyta; Magnoliopsida; Poales; Poaceae. The record is from RNAcentral.
AUGCGGCGGGCGGCGGCGCUCCUCCUCCUGCUCGCCUUCUCGGCCGCCGCCGUCGCAGCAGCAGCAGCCGAGGUGAAGGAUAGCACCGCUGGUAUCCUACCAGCAGGAGGAAACAAUGGUACCGGUAUAGCGGAUCCAGGUGUUGGGAGGACAGGGCAGAAUGGCGAGGCAGAUCCUAACACGCAACAGAAGGUACACGGGGAGGGGGAGCUCAAGAACGUCAUUACUGAGAACACUAACACGGAUAAUUCCGUCGAAGGAACUAGCACUGGGAAAGAUGAGCCAGUACAGAAACCAAAUGACAAAGAUGGCAACACAACAACAUCCUCGACGGACUUCUUGCAGGAUCCACUCAUUGGCGAAUGUGAUCCAUCCCAUAGAUGUCUCAUUGAAAAACAGAAGUUCAUCGCCUGCUUGAAAGUUUCUGGAGAUUCGUCAGCUCUAUCCCUUUUGAUGGACAACAAAGGCACAAACCCACUUGAUGUUAGCAUAACGGCUCCAGAUUAUGUCAUCUUAGCAGAAGAUACAGUUCAUGUUGAAGCAAACGGUCACAAUGAGACGCAGGUGAGUGUUUCUGUCAGCGAUACCGUGAAUGACAUGGCGAUAGUUCUCAAAGUCGCAGAAGAAACCUGUAAAAUCAAUCUUGAGACCGCAGUCACAAGGAACACAGGCCGAGCGAUACCAAUGCGGCUUACUCCAACCUACAUGCUGGUGCCCGUAUUUGUUCUCCUUGGGCUGGUGGGACUAUGUGUCAAACUCCGUAGGGCGCGGAAGCAAGAUGGUGGGCCAGCAUACCAGAAGCUCGACGCACCGGAGCUACCGGUCUCCGUUGGAGGGAAGAAAGAAGCUGAUCAGCCUGACCAGUGGGACGACAACUGGGGAGAUGACUGGGACGACGAGGAGGCGCCGUCAACACCGUCGAACUCCAUGCCCAACCUGUCGUCGAAAGGUCUGGCUUCGAGGAGGUCGACCAAGGAUGGCUGGAAAGAUUAG